ACACCGGCGUGGUACUAGUCACCGAGCCGCACCCCUCGGAAAGCGCGGAGUCGAUGACAGCCACUUCACAGGCUCACGCGCUCCUAGUGUGGGCUUGAAGGGGACGGGGACCGAUUACCAAAGGAGAGCGCUGAGUACGGAAGACACAGGGCAGCCUUUGUCUUGGGUUUAGCGCUGAUGCGCUCAACCCUGAAUCGGGUUCACUGCAACUGUUGUGUCCGAUUUCGGUUCCCUGCAACCGCCCUCCUGGGCGAGAGAUGUCAUUGUGUUCCUGCGGCCAGCGGGACUGAGAGCUGGGACUUAAGACGCCAGGAGGGUCCUGCGCUCACGGAUACUUUUACAAAAUCUGAGUCAUAAAUUACAGAUAGUCUUGAUGAAAAUUCAGAACAUAGGAUUUAUUUUCAAAAAGAAAUGUACCCCAAAAGAACUCUGAGAGAAUAUACUCAACUGUCCUGCUGUGAUUAAACAAGACUGCUGUAUUUUAUGGGGUUUCAGCAUGUUGCCCAGGCUGGCCUCGAACUCCUGGACUCAAGCGAUCCACCUACCUCAGUUUCCCAAAGUGCUGGGAUUACAAGCAUGAG
Molecule: small RNA, 581 nt
Filed under: Pan troglodytes (chimpanzee)
Lineage: Eukaryota; Metazoa; Chordata; Mammalia; Primates; Hominidae
Description: processed transcript
Source: RNAcentral